UUUUGUCAAUUUUUUAAUUUAUUAUCAGAAACGUAUUUUCAGAGUUUUACACCCGCUCAAUCAUCCUUCGCUCGCAAUUUGACUAUCCACUGUCUGUCUCACACACUACUAUUUCGCGCCUUCUCACGUACUGCCGUAUUCGUCGUCUUGCUAGAGAUGUUUUUCUUCUUUCGUUUGUAUGCUAUGUAUGCCGUGUUGUGUGCCUUUGUUUGUAUGUGUUCCUGCCUUUUCAUUCGUUUUCACUCUCUUUUUCAUUUCAACCCAUUAUCUGUGUCUUUAUGUGUUUCAAUUGGUUGUGAAUUGAUAGAAUUACAAAACGUACUGAUUUGCAAAACUAAACUUGCACCAUUGCGGUAACGGGUGUGUCCUGUCGUGUGUCGUGUGGUGGUUUGUUAUAAUGUUUUUUUUAAUCCAUUUUCGACAUUGCAAUUACUAUUGGUUCUUGUUCGUACACACUGCUGUUUCUGUAUUGCCAUUCUACCUGCACACCAGGGUCUUAAUUCCCUGUCUACACUGUAGCAUCCGUAACGCAAGUAAGUGUUUACUGUAAUCGCUUCGAGUGGGAGUUUUCGUAACAAUUUGGCUAGUUAUGAAUUGAAUUCGAGUAUAAAUCUCGUUCAGAUUUGCUUGCUGUUGCGAUUAGUGAUUUAAGAUCGGUUGUACUCCUUCACUGUCGUGUAUCGCGCGCUCCAUAUAAUUCAUUCAUUACAUAUAUCAUAACGUUUAAGUAACAGUCCGUAAAAAAUAUCAGUAAAAACUAGUGUUUCUGACGCAAAUGCUCCCGCUGGUUUACGUAAAGAAUACACAAUGUUUAAGCUACAGUAAUGUUACACAAAAAUAUGCAAACCAUUCAUUCGUCAUCUCCCACUGUGACGCUCCAUCCUUGAUAAUAAUCUGUAUGUAUUUUGUCCGUUUUGGUAUGUUAAUUCCAGCGUUGUUUAUAUUUGUUUGUUUGAGUGUUGUUUUUGUUCUCAUUUCAUUUUUCGAAAAACACACCACGAUUUUACCGGAUCAUUUGCGGAUGUCUGAUAGGAUUGUUCUACUUCUCUUAACUAGUGUGUUCGGUUUUUGAUGCUGCGGUGCUAUUUACUAUUGUUGUUUUUUUUCUGUAUACAGGUGGUUGUUAAUUUGCAUAAGUAAGGUAUGUUUGUUUUUUCUUCUCUGUUUCUGUAAUUUAUCUUUACUUCUGUCAUUUGAAUCAUCUUUUACUUCGGUUUAAUUUCUCUGCAUAUUAUCUAACGUACUUUGCUAUUGCUCAACCGGUGUUUUGUAUAGCAAAUAAUUAUAUUUCCAGUUUUAUCUAUUUGUCCCUUCUUUUACUAUUUCUUCUUUAUCCUGUCUGUUUUGUUUACCACCUUUUCCUUUCAUGUUGUGUUGACGCAUCCAACCUUGUGAUUGUGUGAUCUAUUUUAUUGACAGUGAGAGUAGGAAAAAUAUCUAUUAGCUAUCAAAAGGCCUGCACUAGCCUGUGUGGUCUUUAUUUAGCUUACUGCUCAUACUGAUAUGGUGAACCAGUUUCAGAUGUCUGUUUUUUUUUGUUUGGUUUUCAUAUGUUACAUAAGUAAUAUUGUUCCUUGGUAUUUUACACUAAUGUAACAAAACCCGGUUACUUUCUGUUAGCUAUUCGAGACGCAACACGCCUAUGUACCGGAUGCAUGGGAACUGUUUUUGUAUGCCGCUGAUCUGCCGUGUGUUUACGAGUGGCGUUUAUGGGAGUGUGGGGUGUGACGGGGGGACCUAAUUAAUAUUUUUCACUUCUCGUUUUCUCUCAUUUUUUUGCAACGAAACCUUUUGCAUUAUAUUUAUAUUUCCUGUUGUUUUGUUGUCGGGUUUUCUGUUUGUCGAUAAGAUAGUUUAAAUACUUUACUCUGCAAAUUUGCUUAAACUGUUUUGCUUUACUUCUACUCGCUGCCUGAAUGCUCUUUGACGUACGAAACGAUUGACAUUCGAAGGUUGGAAAUGAGUGAUGCCCAAACCUGAUCCGAUGCGCGCUCGACCGUUUUCAACUGGUAUUUUAUUGGUAGUUUUUAACCUCUUUGAAAUAUCCCAGCGACUCCUUCUUGUAGAUCUUGUAGAUGUAUGAGUAACGUACUUGUUUAAGGGGGGUUUUCUUUGUUGUUGUGGUGGUUGCUUUUAAUGUGUGCCAUUGCCACACCUUAUCUAACCGAACCCCUGUCCCUUCGUUUCCGUAGUGGCCGAACCGACUCCAUUUCCAAUUUUGGUUUGCCACGACUACACUAUAUACUCUGCUUAUGAUUUCUUUUCUGAGUUCCUAAGAUUUUUUGUUUAAUAUGUACAAAAUCACAUUCGCCUCACGGGGGAGACCCAGUUUGCUUUGCCUCUAAGAGAUUCUUUCAAACGUACCGCCAGAACGAUAGAACAAUUCAAUUACUGUCGCCGAACGGGUCAGAUGCCGAUGACUCACUCAUGAUUCACUGGGCUGCUUGUUUGGUUGCCAGAUGGUGUAUUCCUGCUGCCCCUUUGGGGUGGCCUGUAUCUUGUAAGUAUCAAUGUUUCAUCGUACGUUCUUUGGCUGAAAGGAAAUCGCUAGAAUCGUGUGUGAAAACUUGAUAUAAUCGCACGACCCUUUUACGUCUGGCGCUACCCCUUGUGUCAGAUAUACAGAUCCCUUGCACACCAAUGGCAGUACCAGUAGUAGAGUUUUGUGUUCUAAUAUGAUAUUUUGGCAUUUUUUUUGUUCCAUUUCCCGUUUUCGUUCUUGCUCUUUUGCAUCGCGAUUUUGUGUUCCCCUAUCCUUGUCCCCAAUCCAGUCCCAAUUGCGUUGGUUUUGUCACAUUAGUAAUUCGAUUAUUAAUUUGUUCAAUGUUCAUAUCUACAAAUGUGUGAUGAAAAUUGUACGCUCAUCGUGCUUCGGGUGCCUUGCUUCGCAUUCGAAAACGAGGAAUUAAACGAUCGCUCUAGUGUGGAUGUGUGUGUUUGUUUUUUUUUGUUGCCUUUUUGCUUGUUGCAAUUUUUCUUAAUACUUAAAUUCCCCCAAUUGCUCGUUCACCUAAUGGUCAGUUCUCUUCACAAUUCUCUUACUUUAUGAUCCUUGGUUUUAUGUAUGUGUGCUUUUGUUUUGUUACUUAUUUCGUAUGCAUCCCCAGUGGAAAGUAGUUCCGUGUUUGCUGAUGUUUACGUUAAUUCAAUAGGUGAGAAUAUUUCCAAUACCGUUUAACUUCGUUUAAAUUUUAUCAAGAACUUUUUGUUUGUUGUUGUUGCGUUGAAUUAUUGCUUAGUAAGAUGGAUAAAUCUUACGGCAUGAUGAAGUGAAACCGAAUUCAUAAUGAGAGGUGUGAUUCAGGAAUCGCAUACCUAAUAUUGGGUUGUGCAAAGAGUCGAUGAAACAUUUAAAAAUCGUUACCAUUUGAACGUGUGCAUGCAUUUCCGUACACAUUUUACAGUCGAGUGUAAGAGAAAUGAUUAAAAUAAGGCAAAAUGUGAAGAUUUGAAGUAAAUUAAAUCAAUUUUAUAGAAUGAAAAAUUGAGAGGAGUGAUGCAAAUAGAAGAAGGAAGGUGAUAUUAGUAAAAUAAAAUAAAACAAAUAAACAAACAAAUUGAGCAAAGUAAGUAGAAAAAAUAGACAUUUUAUAAUAAAUUUAUAAUUUAAAAAGAAAAAAACUCAAUAAUUGGACCAUACAAGACAAUACAAGACAAACCAGAAUGGUAUUAAAUAACUAAGAAAAUCAACAUCGAAUAUACUACAAAGAAGAAUCUUCCUUUUCUAUUCAUUCUUUUCAUUUUAUCUCUCUGGUAAGCAAUCUUUUCUUUACAUUUAAUUGGAUGAUUUUAAUUAUUUUUUUAAGACUCCAUGUUUUUACCUUUGUCGCUCAUUAUAAGGGGUUCGCUGGUUUGGAUGUCUGUAUUUCUGUACGUGUUUUCAUGUGUGCAUGUGUGUACGUUACUAGUGUGGUAAGACAUUUUAUUUCUUUGCAUUAUCCUCUUGGUAAAUGGGGGUUUUCUUUUCUUCACUAAUUAAAAUAUUCACAUUUAUCAAAUUUAUGUAAACUGCAUAGAAAAUUGGAUUCGAGUGUGAACGUUUUUGUAUGUAUUGUGUAGGUUUGUGUGUGUGUGGUUGCAACUUUGUCAUGUGGUAUAUCUUUAUAAGUAAGAGUUUGGUUUUCUUUUUUUAUUAAGUUAUUUACCCUCACUUAACUCACGUACCGUUCGCUUCCUGUUCUGAUUCCUGCUGGCAAGUCUUAAGAUGUGCGCCGGAGUCGUUGUAAGUUUGGAACUAAUCAGUGGAGAUGUGAUUGUUGACAAGAGUUUUUCAAAACAUGCCUGCUUGCUAGGGAGAGCAAUCAGACAAUGUUCGGGUUGGUUUAUGCUACCGAUGGUAUAAAAUUGUACCAAAGUAUACACGUGGACAGUGGUUUAUUCAAAUCGGAAUCGGUUGAAAACAAAAUCAAAAUGCUAAACUUCUUCUAAAUCCAAAAUGGUCAGUGAGAGAGAGAGAGAAAGAAGGAAAGGAAGUAUGAAAAAGUAAACCGUCCAUUUGUUCGGCCAGUUACCGGCUAUGGUCUGGGACCUAAUAAAACAUCACCCAGCAAGGAAUGAUUAAAAAACUCUACAUAAUCCUACCUCAUCUGCUCCUGUCCUGAUCCAGGGUUGGGAGGGACAUCUAAUUCCCAUUUCCGCACCGUUUUUUUCUCUCUCUCUCCGUCAACCGGAUUCCUCACCCAAAAAAGGUCGGGGAACGUGGUGUAUACUACAUAUAAAUGGCGGUCCAAUUCUGGCGGUGAAACUUACUGGCACCGUGGAAGCCACUCACAAACCGAUUGGGGUGGGGGAAAAAAGCAAUGGUAAACUAUCUGCGCCUUGUUUUCUGUCCUUGUGCUAAAGUUUGACGACCUGUUUGGGGCGGGGUGGGAUAAGGGAUGAAAAUUCCUCAGCCUCAGUCAGUUACUCAAUUACGUACGAUUUACAACGGUGGUCAAAUGAAGCUAGCCUACGGGGAAAGAAGGCGGCGUCUUAACGUAUCGUUUGCUUGGCGCGUUAUCAGCGCGAAGGGGAAGCAGUGUGGGUUCAGUGGUGCAGGGGCUCUGUGCUAGUCUAGUAAGAUGGGUGGGCAUGUUGUGGGUGAACCGACCUACGGAGGAAGCCCUAUCCGGAAGGUGACAGUUACAGCUAUCCAUUGCGCGCACUUCGUUGGGAUAGAAAUCGGUCAUUCGGUAGCGAUCGUACGAAUCGUCACGAUUAAACUUACAUUGUAAUAAUUCCCAAUGAAUGAUAUGGUACAUUGUUUUUGUUUCUUUUAAGGAUCAUGUGCAGAAGGAUUCAUCGCUCCGUUGGGUUGCAGUUGUGGUGGUGCGUGUUUAAUUCUCAGGAAAAGGAACAUUAUCUCUACACCGCCCCCAGUACCUUUCUGUUCACUUCUAAUCCUGUCUUACUAGUUACUUUCGCCAGUUAGUGACUCUCUAAAUGUUUAAACUGAGACGUUUUAUUUGCUGUUGUGUGUGUAUGUAUGGAAUUGAAAUAAUACGAAAAUAAUAAUAAUAAUAAACGGUACAGGGAGGAGAAACGCGGGCAUAUUCGGAUCGAGGGAACGAAUACAAGGGAGAACAGGGAAGGGGUGGGAAAGCAAUUGGAAACAGGGAAACACACACACACACACACGCAUGUACACACAUAUGGUUGAGUAGAGAGAGAGAGAGAGAGAGAGAGAGAGAGAGAGAGAGAGAGAGAGAGAGAGAGAGAGAGAGAGAGAGAGAGAGAGAGAGAGAGAGAGAGAGAGAGAGAGAGAAAGAUGG
Long non-coding RNA from Anopheles coluzzii, 5750 nucleotides. RefSeq lists it as uncharacterized. NCBI's taxonomy places the organism in Eukaryota, Metazoa, Arthropoda, Insecta, Diptera, Culicidae. The record is from RefSeq and is a predicted model, not a curated record. The transcript has 2 exons.